Molecule: long non-coding RNA, 172 nt
Organism: Papaver somniferum (opium poppy)
Lineage: Eukaryota; Viridiplantae; Streptophyta; Magnoliopsida; Ranunculales; Papaveraceae
Exons: 3
Source: RefSeq, a predicted model, not a curated record
AAGGACAUAUAGUUACAAACUAUCAUGUUGUUGGCAACGCUCUUUCAAGAAAUCCUGCCCCUGGUCAAGUUGUUGCCCGAGUCAAUAUUCUUGCGUCUGAUGGGGUGCAAAAGAACUUUGAGGGCAAGCUAAUUGGUGCAGACCGUGACAAAGAUCUCGCCGUUUUACAGGU